Dermochelys coriacea (leatherback sea turtle) is the source of this 2334-nucleotide long non-coding RNA. RefSeq lists it as uncharacterized. The transcript has 2 exons. Lineage: Eukaryota; Metazoa; Chordata; Testudines; Dermochelyidae. The record is from RefSeq and is a predicted model, not a curated record.
GAAAGCUUAUGCUCAAAUACAUUUGGUAGUCUCUAAGGUGCCACUUGGAAUGGGGAGACUCAUGGUUCAAGUUUGCCCUCCAUCUGAAGUGGAGGAGGGAUUUGAACGAGGAUCUGCCACCUCUCGGGUCAGUGUCCUAGCCACUGCAUAGAAUCAUAGAAUAUCAGGGCUGGAAGAGACCUCAGGAGGUCAUCUAGUCCAACCCCCUGCUCAAAGCAGGACCAAUCCCCAACUAAAUUAUCCCAGCCAGGGCUUGGUCAAGCUUGACCUUAAAAAUCUCAAAGGAAGGAGAUUCCACCACCGCCCUAGGUAACACAUUCCAGUGCUUCACCACCCUCCUAGUGGAAAAAGUUUUUUCCUAAUAUCCAACCUAAACCUCCCCUACUGCAACUUGAGACCCUUACUCAGUUCUCAGUCUCUUCUGUUGAAGCUGUUCCCCUCUGGGUAAAUAAUUUAAAAACGUAAGUAUUUGGAGUAGGGAAAGUGGAUUCUCUGUCCCCCUGCCUCCCAGCUGAGUGCUCUAACCACCAGCUAGAGUUACUGUCAUGCUUGCUUUCUGGCCUCAUGUUGAAGCUCUUCCACUUCGAAUAAAUAAUGAAAGAAUCAUUGGGCCAAAGAGAGAAAAUACUAGAGUGACUCUGUAGCCUGGUGGUUUAGCACUCACAAAGGGAGGCAGGAGACUCCCAGUUUAAGUCCCCUCUCCACCAGUUUGAGCAGAGCUAGAUCAUGUAAAUCUACAUGACCUGGGAAAUGCACCUCCCAGCUCAAAUGUAGACAUACCUUGGGUUCAUGGGAAGACAAGCAAUGCCCUGCCUUGUCCUGUCUAUAGAGUAGAUCAGUAGUGUUAAUCUGUUUACAGCCUGCUCAGAAGAAGGGUUGAAAUAUACUACAACCACAUGAUUAGCAACCAUGUGAUAAUCAUGUUGCUAUGUAUGAAAUCAAUCAUGUUAUAACCUAGUCCUAAAGUCUUCAAAGUUCUGUAGAGUAUAAGGGCUCUUAAACACAGGAUAAAUAUUUCCUUUCUAGGCCAACUCUGUCAAAUAAAAUGGUAGCAAUAUAUCAUUACCAAGCUUUUACUGGAUGGACAUAGAGAUGGUGCUUGCCUUAUGUAAGAGAAAUUUUGAACACUGCACUUGCUCAAAGAUUUGUCCUUAUUGGGAAACCAAGUAGAGAGGAAUAUUUGAUGACUAGACUACCAUGUUAAGAUGCCCCUCGGCAUUAAUGGAAGACUGUUUUUGUUUCAAUUAUCAUGUUCUUUGAAAUGUUAGUUCUACGUCUGAUAAAGUCUAAGGGUAAAAUUUUGAAAAGUGCCUAAUGCUCCUAAAUCUCACUGAAAGCCAAAAUUAUUUAUUUACAAUUUAAAUACUGCAAAAGUUUUCAUUCAGGCGGUGCUGGGUGGAUCUUGUUGAAGAGACUGAGGCAAGGGGAUGAGCAGAACUAUAAAUGCUAUACUUCAUGAUGAUCUGCUGUCAAGCAUAAUUUCACACAUUUCAGCUAUUUCUGAUGUCUUGAUGACAGUUUUAGGGUAGUCUACUGCUAGAAGUUUCUUUUUAAAAUCCUACUCACUUUGUUCUUUAGAUGUUUAAGAACAGUGCUCGUAACUUUUAAUUGCCUGUACUGAAUUUUGUGUGUAUAAAUAACUUUUCUAGAAUGUUGCUUUUUGUUGAUUACUCAACAAAAUGGUUUUACCAUUAAUUAGUUUAGGUGGGACUGUGUGGUGGGAUGGAUCACUUGAUAAUUGCCAUGUUCUGUUCGUUCCCCCUGAAGUAUCCGGUGCCAGCCACUGUCAGAAGACAGGACAUUGAGCUAGAUGGACCAUUAGUCUGACCCAGUAUGGCCAUUCUUAUAUUCUUAUGUCUAAACAGGCUCAUUAGAAAUUUCUGGUUUUUGUUUUAGGUAUUUUGUACAGUGUUAACUCCCCCCCCUUUUUUUAAAAAUUGUUUCCUCUGCCCCAUCCCCAAAAUAGGUGAAUGGGAAUUUCACAUCUCAUCCCCAAUCCUCCACCCCAGCUGCCCCUUCGCCGUAAAACCCAAAAAAGCUGCUCCUCUAGGCUGAGACUAUUUUCAGCCUCAAAGAGAAUUUUUGAGUUGCAAGUGAAUGAAAAGAAGAUUAGGAUUGUGUGGUCAAGUCAUUUAAAAUCUUUGCUUCAGUUUCCCCAUCUACAUAGAACUGGGAUCCUAUUUACCUAGCUCAUAGUGGUGUUGUGAGGACUGAUUCAAUAAUGUCUGGAAAACAUUUGGUACAUAAAAAGCACUAUGCAAGUGUGACAUAUUAAGUUGCAAUUCAACAACAACUGUCACUCCUGUAAAAACUGAAAUUGUUUUAAUAGUUAAC